GACGAACGCUGGCGGCGUGCUUAACACAUGCAAGUCGAACGAUGAACCCGGAGCUUGCCCCGGUGGAUUAGUGGCGAACGGGUGAGUAACACGUGAGUAACCUGCCCUUGACUCUGGGAUAACUGCGGGAAACUGUAGCUAAUACCGGAUACGACCCUCGGCGGCAUCGCCAGGGGGUGGAAAGAAUUUCGGUCAAGGAUGGACUCGCGGCCUAUCAGCUAGUUGGUGAGGUAACGGCUCAGCAAGGCGACGACGGGUAGCCGGCCUGAGAGGGUGGCGGGCCGCACGGGGACCGAGACGCGGCCCAGACUCCUACGGGGGGCAGCAGUGGGGGAUGUUGCACAAUGGGCGCAAGCCUGAUGCAGCAACGCCGCGUGAGGGAUGACGGCCUUCGGGUUGUAAACCUCUUUUAAUAGGGAAGAAGCGAAAGUGACGGUACCUGCAGAAAAAGCACCGGCUAACUACGUGCCAGCCGCCGCGGUAA
RNAcentral lists this ribosomal RNA (484 nucleotides) under uncultured bacterium. RNAcentral describes it as "partial 16S ribosomal RNA". It matches the Rfam family "Bacterial small subunit ribosomal RNA", at positions 28 to 523 of the family's 1533-position model. The record is from RNAcentral.